RNAcentral lists this ribosomal RNA (253 nucleotides) under uncultured bacterium. Its description in RNAcentral is "partial 16S ribosomal RNA". It matches the Rfam family "Bacterial small subunit ribosomal RNA", at positions 524 to 776 of the family's 1533-position model. The record is from RNAcentral.
UACGAAGGGGGCUAGCGUUGUUCGGAAUUACUGGGCGUAAAGCGCGCGCAGGCGGUCUUCCAAGUCAGUGGUGAAAGCCCGGAGCUCAACUCCGGAAUUGCCAUUGAAACUGUUGGACUUGAGGAUGAGAGAGGUGAGUGGAAUUCCCAGUGUAGAGGUGAAAUUCGUAGAUAUUCGCAAGAACACCAGUGGCGAAGGCGGCUCACUGGCCCGAUACUGACGCUGAGGUGCGAAAGCGUGGGGAGCAAACAGG